Molecule: non-coding RNA, 70 nt
Organism: Meloidogyne enterolobii
Lineage: Eukaryota; Metazoa; Nematoda; Chromadorea; Rhabditida; Meloidogynidae
Source: the annotation of a GenBank genome assembly
UCUUCGGUGGUGCAGUGGUAACGUUCUUGCAUAUAAGUAUUUCCCCCAGGUUCGAAUCCUAGUUGGUGAA